AUACACUGGUUCUAAUAUGAUCGCCGAAGUUAAGCAACGUCGAGCCUGGUUAGUACUUACAUGGAUGACCUCUUAGGAAUACCAGAUGCUGUAA
Acanthosepion pharaonis is the source of this 94-nucleotide non-coding RNA. NCBI's taxonomy places the organism in Eukaryota, Metazoa, Mollusca, Cephalopoda, Sepiida, Sepiidae. The record is from the annotation of a GenBank genome assembly.